Molecule: long non-coding RNA, 3728 nt
Filed under: Canis lupus familiaris (dog)
Lineage: Eukaryota; Metazoa; Chordata; Mammalia; Carnivora; Canidae
Description: lncRNA (ENSCAFG00000050132.1)
Source: RNAcentral
UUUUUUUUUUUUUUUUUUUGCCUUCUCUUAAAGUACUCACCAAGCUUCUCCCUCUUUGCUGUUUCUGUGAUUCAAUAAGUAAAUACAUUUUGGAGUCAUUAUAAGUUUUGGAACUAGAUCAAAAGAAAGGCCAAUACAUGCAAGAGAAGGCAUAUUUUCCUUAGCAAUCAUUGAAUAUUUUUGUAAGGCUGCAAGAUUUCAGGUCAUAGAAACAAGUAUUUUGCUAUGCAUUCUUAUGCCAGAUAGAAAUAAAAUAGUAAAUUAGUAACCCAGGUUUUACAAUUCAUGUGAAACACUUCCUGAGUUCAAUGUUUUCCUUUUUGUCACACAGCUAAAAGAAUAUACAGGGAUAAAAGGAAUUAGAACCAUUCUCUUUGUGCUAUUCUAUAGGUCUCCAUAAUUUCUUUAAAUUUCUACAUAUUUUUAUUAUAAUAGAUCUAAAUUCUACAUAACAUUUAUGUAUUGAUACACCAACAUUAAAAAUAUAUAUAUUAGGUAGAUGACAGAUUUUUAAAUUUUUAAAAUUUUUGUUGCUAUUUCUAUUUUAUUUAUUUUAUUUACCUUGGGAUUUUUAUCUCAGGUGCACAGAAUUUUAUCUCAGGUGCACAGAAUUGCCUUGGGUCAUAGCAAAUUUUUAUUGUCAACCAGUGUUUUAUUUCAUGAUUCUUCCCAUUCAUUCCUCCGUCAUCUAUCCCCUUCCCACACCCAUCUGGCACCCACUCACAUGCAGUCCAAGGAACAUUCCACAUAGUUUGUGGCCACUUGUAAAUAUGUUUGUCCUUGAAACUAACCAACUAACUUCCUUCCUUCCUUCCUUCCUUCCUUCCUUCCUUCCUUCCUUCCUUCCUUCCUUCCUUUCUUCCUUCCUUCCUUCUUUCUUUUAUUCUCUUUCUUCUUUCUUUCUUUCUUCUUCAAUUCCAGAGAGAGCACAAGCAGGAGGGGCAGAAGGAGAGAAAGAUUCUCAAGCACACUCUGUACUGAGUCCUGAGCCCUAUGGGGGGGCGGCUCAAUCUCACGACCAUGAGAUCAUAACCUGAGCUGAAACCAAGAGUCAGUUGCUCAAAAGAUUGCACCACCCAGGUGCCCCUGAAAUUUAUUUUUAACAUAGUAUGCUUUUAAUGACAUAAAUAGUGUCACGUUUUGUUUCUUACUAUUUUAUUCAAUUAUAUAGUUUUGAAACCUGGUUACACAGCUAUUUCUUCCAUGCUGCCCAUUGGCUCUGACACUGUACAGUAUUCCUCUCAUGCAUAUCCAUAUACCACAUUUUACAUAUAUAGGUAUCUAUUUUUGAACUCCUGGGUUGCCUUCAACUCUUUCUAGCACAAUAUGCUUUGAGGGUUAUCAUUGUUUAUGUCUUCUGGGGCAUUUGUGAAGAGCAUCUCUGGAGGGUAGACUCCAGAGUGAGAGUUUGGGGCACAAAGUAUAUGCCUACAAUUUUACCUAAAUAUUGCCAGAUUGUUUUCUAAACAGCUACAUUGUACUACGCCUCUCAAUAUUAUAUAAGAUUUCUCAUUUCUCCACAUCUCCAUCAGCCUCUGAUAUUAUCUCUCAAAUUUUUAGCUAGCUUAUGACUUUACCAUUGUAGAAGAGCAGCAGCAGAGUCACAGUGGUUCAGAGAUUAGGUGGGUAAACUCAAAGCUAUCCCAAUUAGAUCCAGAUUCCAGCUCUUAUCAUUGAACGCUUGUGUAACGUUCUGUUCCUGAUUCCUUAUCUGUAAAAUGAGAUCAUGAUAAUAUCUAGCGCAUAAAGUUGCUGUAAGAAUCAGGGCACUUUAUAUUUUAAAAGCACUUAGAAUAGUGCUUGGCCAUAGUAAGUGCUCAAAUAUUGGCUGUUCACAAAGUUCCUCCAAUGAACAAAAGUCAAUGAGCACUCUUCAUAUAUUUUGUGGCCGUUCAAAUUACUCCACAGCUUUAAAUUAUUUUUCUAUAAUGUUCCUUGACAUUAUCUUGAUGAGUCCUUCGUCUUUAUAUAUAUUCUUAACAUCCUUAGUUAUUUGUAGAAACUGAAAAGAUUUUUCACACAGUCUACCGCUGGUGAUUUAAUUUUGUAUUUGUCAUCCUAUUUUGAAGGCACAUCUUUACUUCAAUGUAGUAAAGUUAUCAAUUUUUCCUUUUAUAUUUCAUGCUAUUUUUGGUAUUGUUUAAAAAAAUCUCUUUCCAUCCUGAAAUCACAGACACAUUCAAUUUUAUUAUUUAUAAAAUUUAUUAAAAUACUUAUAAAAUUAUUUAUAAUAAUUACAUUAUUUUAAUUCUUUUGAAAUUAUAUUUCAUUUUAUAUAAUCACAUUCUUCUAAUCAUUUCAUAAUCUUUUUGGAUUUUCUUAUUGAGACAAUUAGAUUGUCAGUAGAUUUUUAGACUUUUGAUUUUCAGGUUAUCAUCAGCAAGUAAUGAGUUUCAAUUCUUCCUAGCAAUUCAUACUUUCUAUUUUUUUUCUUUUUUUUUUUUCUUUUUUUGGUCUUCUCGUAUUGUCUAAGACUUUCUGUGUUCUGUUGAAUAGUAGUGAAAUACUUGGUCUAUAUUUUUUCCAAUCUUAAAUGAAAUCCUUCUAAAUUUUUUUCAUUUGAUGUGUUAUUGCUAUAAUUUAUUAUUUUGUCAUUAGAGUAAGAAAAUCCCCUUUCUACCUAGUCUUUUAAGAAUGCUGAACAUGUGGGGAUUUUAUUUCUUUUUCAUCUAUUGAAAUUAUUAUUAUUUUAAACAAAACACAUUUUUAUUUGGUUGGAUAAAAUUUUAUUGAUAAUAUUAAUAUUGCUGUUCACAAAUGAAACUGAACCAUAGUUUUAUUUUCUUAAACUGUCUUUAUUGGUAUUUGUAUGCUAUAAUAGGCUCAUUAAAAUACUUUAGCAGUUUUUUUUUUUUCUGUUUCCUAGACAAACUAGCCUAUGUUUAUAUGGUAAAAUUCACAUGUAAAACUUCUAAAUAGAAAAUGUUUUAAAGCAAUGUUGUUUAUUUAAAAUACAUUGGUCAAUUAAGAUUUCUACUUCUUCCUUUUUUUUAAUUUCUAUUUCUUCUUGUGUUAAUUUUGACACUUUACAUUUUCUAGAAAUAUAUCCAUUUGCUUUGAAUUUCAAACUUAUAGACAUUAAUUUAUUUAAAAUAUUAUCUUUGAUUUUUCAAAUAUUUAUGUAACUGCUGGAAUCAAGAACUAUAUAUUCCCAGAGUCCCAUCAUCUCUGAAUCUCUGUAUUUGAUUCUAAGAUUAAAGAACAACAGUGUGGCUAAAAUAAAUCUAAAUACAUGUCAAAAUCAAUUUACUAUUCUUCAAAAAUUAGACAACCUCGUCCAGUUAGGGCCUAGACAUCCUGAAGCUUGUAGAUGUUUGGAUGGUCUCUAUGGUAUUUUAUUUUAUUUUAUUUUAUUUUAUUUUAUUUUAUUUUAUUUUAUUUUUUAUUUUAUUUUAUUCUUGGUCUCUAUGGUUUAGAUGGUGAGCUCAUAACUCUGAUUGCUUGGAUUCAUAUACCAGCUCAGCACUGAGCACAAACAACUUUGUCCAAGUUUCUUAUCCCUUCCAUACCUAAGUUUUCCCUUCUGGAAAACAGAAAUGAUAGGGACACCUGGGUGGCUCAGUGGUUGAGCAUCUGCUUUCAGCUCAGGAUGUGAUCCCAGGGUUCCAGGUUUCAGUCCUCCAUUGGGGUCCUACACAGAGCCUGCUUCUCCCCCCUGCCUGUGUCUCUGCCUUGCUCUCUGUGUCUCUCAUGAAUAAAUAAACAAAAAUCUUAAAAAAAAAAAAAAA